Anopheles stephensi (Asian malaria mosquito) is the source of this 1760-nucleotide long non-coding RNA. RefSeq lists it as uncharacterized. The record is from RefSeq and is a predicted model, not a curated record. NCBI's taxonomy places the organism in Eukaryota, Metazoa, Arthropoda, Insecta, Diptera, Culicidae. The transcript has 2 exons.
CGAUUUUAGUUUUUUUUCACCAGCAGCCGGUGCGAGUCACCACGAGUGUUUUGUGCAGCGCGCGUUCUCCCUGAUCGUGUUCGGUUUGUUGUUUCCCAUAAAGCCGCGUCCUCGUCGCCGUUUCCGGUGCGCGCAAGUUCUCUGCGUGGUGCGUGUGUGUACUUUUGUAACGUGUGCUGUUCUUUUCAAGAACAGCGUCAAUCCUCCAUUUUGGACGACAUCGUGCCCGUGAAGAAGGGGUCAAGAUCACUUUCUCUUUCACCGGGAACGCAGACAUCCUGGAAGCUGCCACUUCUAAAACAAGCGGAAGUGUUCUGCAUCCGGUGGCGUAUUGCAACUAUCAACUGUUGUGCAAGCAAGCAGAUAAACUCAAACAAAGUGAAACGAGUGAACAAAUGUUGAGUGCAGUUUCUGAUAUCCCCGGAGGAGAGUUCCCGUGAAUAGCAAGUAGUUGUGAAUGAAGUUAAAAGUAACACGAUGUUACCUGUGUACCAUGCUUAACUCCAAUUUCCAUUCGUGGUGAAUUCCGGUAGUAGUAAAAAAUACUCCUCAAAUCCAAAUUCAUGCUAGCGAAUUCCUGUGCGGAUCUUGUAGUCGUACGCACGCCGCGUGCGUCCUAGCGCGUCCUAGUGUGUGCGAGUGAGUGUGUGUUCCUGUUCAAACGUUAAAAUGGUUCGCAAUGUGCUGUUGUGUGCAGAAGCUAUCUGGUAACCGAUUAAUAAGCGAAAGCAAAAGUUUGAAGUGAUCGUUUUCAAUUCUCGCCCAAGUGGCGGUACGAGUGUUUGUGCGGUGCCGUGUGUGUUUGUGCCAUAUGAUAAAGCGUUCAAAAAUCAGUAAACGAAGCUGCAAAACAGCAAGAAUUUAGCACCAAGCUAAGGGGGAAAACAAGGAAAAAGGAAACCUCCGGUUGAGAAGUGCGAGAAAAGUUUUUCCACGCCGGUGUGAAAAUCAAGAAGCACACCGAUUUCCUUCCUUCGAAGUGUUUGUGCGCGGCGGGUUGUGUUGUGUUUUCCGUUUUGUUCGGUGAGUGUGUGUGUGUGCUUUCCGUGUGUCUAUACGAUGUGUGAAGUCAUCGAGGCGCAACGUGCAGAUGUAAACAAAGCGGCCAAUUGAGCAGUCACGAGUUCCAUUUUUCCCCAUCCCCAGAACCGGAAAAGGCAGGAAAAGCGCUGGCUGUGGUAGUGAAAAACAAAAUCGCACCAAAGGCUGGCUGCUGGGCACCGAAGAUAAAAGCAUUAUUAAUCAUCGAUUUUUGUUUUUCGCGCCGGAGAUCAGUUUCGUGGUCGUAACCGCCCGAGAGGUUUGUGUUGUGUGCGGUUAUUUAGUGUGCGUUUCGAAUGAUGUGUGUGUGCGUUCGUAAGUGUGUCUGUGAGCAACGCAGCAAGAAGCCGGUUUAGUUUCGUUGUUGUUAUAAUUGUUGUGCAAAAUAAGUGUUUAAGCAUCAGCAGAAGCCAAUAUCCGUGCUCGACCUAGAGAAAGUAGCUGGCAAAAGAAUCAUAGUAUUAUUAGCUGUUUAGGGGCUGUUUAGAGGGCUGUUGUUUCGUCUAGUGUGAAUGCAGUUGCCAGCCGCUUAAGCGGAGUGUUUUGCGAAACGAGCUUCGACUGCGAUUUGUGUCCCGAGUUCGGAUCCCGCUACCAGUUGCAAGAACGCCCAACGAUGGAUAUACUGCCGAGUGGAAGCAUUUUCCGGGAGCUCCAGAUCAUCCACGAAACGGGAUGCUUCUCGUCCGAGUCCUCCUUCGAGGAUCAAUGGCAACAGG